ACCUCCAUAGCUCAGUUGCUUAGAGCGUGAUGCUGGAAACGUCAAUGUUGCAGGUUCAAUCCCCGUAUGGGGCA
Non-coding RNA from Podarcis lilfordi (Lilford's wall lizard), 74 nucleotides. The record is from the annotation of a GenBank genome assembly. Lineage: Eukaryota; Metazoa; Chordata; Lepidosauria; Squamata; Lacertidae.